This 258-nucleotide ribosomal RNA is filed under the name uncultured bacterium. RNAcentral describes it as "partial 16S ribosomal RNA". It matches the Rfam family "Bacterial small subunit ribosomal RNA", at positions 1247 to 1500 of the family's 1533-position model. The record is from RNAcentral.
CAGCCAAGUCGUGAGGCGGAGCUAAUCCCUUUAAAAGCCAUUCUCAGUUCGGAUUGUAGGCUGAAACUCGCCUACAUGAAGCUGGAGUUACUAGUAAUCGCAGAUCAGAAUGCUGCGGUGAAUGCGUUUCCGGGUCUUGUACACACCGCCCGUCACACCACGGAAGUUGGGGGCGCCCGAAGCCACUUAGCUAACCCUUUUGGGAAGCGAGUGUCGAAGGUGAAAUCAAUAACUGGGGUGAAGUCGUAACAAGGUACC